This 491-nucleotide ribosomal RNA is filed under the name uncultured bacterium. RNAcentral's name for it is "partial 16S ribosomal RNA". It matches the Rfam family "Bacterial small subunit ribosomal RNA", at positions 29 to 506 of the family's 1533-position model. The record is from RNAcentral.
AGUGAACGCUGGCGGUAGGCCUAACACAUGCAAGUCGAACGGCAGCACAGUAAGAGCUUGCUCUUACGGGUGGCGAGUGGCGGACGGGUGAGGAAUACAUCGGAAUCUACUUUUUCGUGGGGGAUAACGUAGGGAAACUUACGCUAAUACCGCAUACGACCUACGGGUGAAAGCAGGGGAUCUUCGGACCUUGCGCGAUUGAAUGAGCCGAUGUCGGAUUAGCUAGUUGGCGGGGUAAAGGCCCACCAAGGCGACGAUCCGUAGCUGGUCUGAGAGGAUGAUCAGCCCCACUGGAACUGGGACACGGUCCAGACUCCUACGGGAGGCAGCAGGGGGGAAUAUUGGACAAUGGGCGCAAGCCUGCUCCAGCCAUACCGCGUGGGUGAAGAGGGCCUUCGGGUUGUAAAGCCCUUUUGUUGGGAAAGAAAAGCAGCAGGUUAAUACCCCGCUGUUCUGACGGUACCCAAAGAAUAAGUACCGGCUAACUUCGU